Molecule: ribosomal RNA, 216 nt
Filed under: Glomeromycotina sp.
Lineage: Eukaryota; Fungi; Glomeromycota
Description: partial small subunit ribosomal RNA
Rfam family: Eukaryotic small subunit ribosomal RNA (bases 92-216)
Source: RNAcentral
GGGUCAGUAGGUUGGUCGUGCCACCGGUACGUACUGGUCCCACUGAUACCUCCUUCCUGAAGAACCGUAAUGCCAUUAAUUUGGUGGUGCGGGGAAACAGGACUGUUACUUUGAAAAAAUUAGAGUGUUUAAAGCAAGCUAACGCUUGAAUACAUUAGCAUGGAAUAAUGAAAUAGGACGAUCGAUCCUAUUUUGUUGGUUUCUAGGAUUGACGUA